This 355-nucleotide ribosomal RNA is filed under the name uncultured bacterium. RNAcentral describes it as "bacterial SSU rRNA". It matches the Rfam family "Bacterial small subunit ribosomal RNA", at positions 29 to 412 of the family's 1533-position model. The record is from RNAcentral.
AACGAACGCUGGCGGCAGGCCUAACACAUGCAAGUCGAACGCCGUAGCAAUACGGAGUGGCAGACGGGUGAGUAACACGUGGGAACGUACCCUUCGGUUCGGGAUAACUCAGGGAAACUUGAGCUAAUACCGGAUACGUCCGAGAGGAGAAAGAUUUAUCGCCGAGGGAUCGGCCCGCGUCUGAUUAGCUUGUUGGUGAGGUAACGGCUCACCAAGGCGACGAUCAGUAGCUGGCUGAGAGGAUGAUCAGCCACAUUGGGACUGAGACACGGCCCAAACUCCUACGGGAGGCAGCAGUGGGGAAUAUUGGACAAUGGGCGCAAGCCUGAUCCAGCCAUGCCGCGUGAGUGAAGAA